This 691-nucleotide ribosomal RNA is filed under the name uncultured organism. RNAcentral describes it as "bacterial SSU rRNA". It matches the Rfam family "Bacterial small subunit ribosomal RNA", at positions 150 to 854 of the family's 1533-position model. The record is from RNAcentral.
CGGGAAACUGUGGAUAAUACCCGAUAAUGUCUUAGGACCAAAGGUGUAAUUCCACCAGGGGACGAGUCUGCACCCUAUUAGCUUGUUGGCGAGGUAAUGGCUCACCAAGGCGAUGAUGGGUAGCGGGUGUGAGAGCACGACCCGCGUCACUGGGACUGAGAACUGCCCAGACACCUACGGGUGGCUGCAGUCGAGGAUUUUUGGCAAUGAGCGCAAGCUUGACCAAGCGAUGCCGCGUGCGGGAUGAAGGCCUUCGGGUUGUAAACCGCUGUCAGUGUGGAGGAAAACUUGGUGUAGAGCCAAGUUUGACUAAUACGCAGAGGAAGUGAGGGCUAAACUCGUGCCAGCAGCCGCGGUAAGACGAGUCUCACGAACGUUAUUCGGAAUUACUGGGCUUAAAGGGUGCGUAGGCGGUGGGGUAAGUCGGGUGUGAAAUACCAUAGCUUAACUAUGGAACUGCACUCGAUACUACUUCGCUAGAGUAAGACAGAGGUGAGUGGAACUGAGGGUGGAGCGGUGAAAUGCGUUGAUAUCCUCAGGAACACCGGUGGCGAAGGCGACUCACUGGGUCUUUACUGACGCUGAUGCACGAAAGCUAGGGUAGCAAACGGGAUUAGAUACCCCGGUAGUCCUAGCCGUAAACUCUGAGAACUUGAUUGAAGGAUCCUCCAUAGUCUUUCAGUCGUAGCGA